CCUACGGGAGGCAGCAGUAGGGAAUCUUCCACAAUGGACGCAAGUCUGAUGGAGCAACGCCGCGUGAGUGAAGAAGGGUUUCGGCUCGUAAAGUUCUUUUGGCGGUGAAGAAAGAUGUAGGUAGUAACUCUCCUUUAUUUGACGUUACUUACUUAGAAAGUCACGGCUAACUACGUGCCAGCAGCCGCGGUAAUACGUAGGGGGCAAGCGUUGUCCGGAUUUAUUGGGCGUAAAGCGAGUGCAGGCGGUUCAAUAAGUCUGAUGUGAAAGCCUUCGGCUCAACCGGAGAAUUGCAUCAGAAACUGUUGAGCUUGAGUGCAGAAGAGGAGAGUAGAACUCCAUGUGUAGCGGUGGAAUGCGUAGAUAUAUGGAAGAACACCAGUGGCGAAGGCGGCUCUCUGGUCUGAAACUGACGCUGAGGCUCGAAAGCAUGGGUAGCGAACAGGAUUAGAUACCCGGGUAGUC
RNAcentral lists this ribosomal RNA (465 nucleotides) under uncultured bacterium. Its description in RNAcentral is "partial 16S ribosomal RNA". It matches the Rfam family "Bacterial small subunit ribosomal RNA", at positions 338 to 795 of the family's 1533-position model. The record is from RNAcentral.